This 273-nucleotide ribosomal RNA is filed under the name uncultured Oscillospiraceae bacterium. RNAcentral's name for it is "partial 16S ribosomal RNA". It matches the Rfam family "Bacterial small subunit ribosomal RNA", at positions 70 to 339 of the family's 1533-position model. The record is from RNAcentral. Lineage: Bacteria; Bacillati; Bacillota; Clostridia; Eubacteriales; Oscillospiraceae.
AAUUGCUAGCUUGCUAAUAAUUCUCUAGUGGCGCACGGGUGAGUAACACGUGAGUAACCUGCCUCAAAGAGGGGGACAACAGUUGGAAACGACUGCUAAUACCGCAUAAGCCCACGGUGCCGCAUGGCACUGCGGGAAAAGGAUUUAUUCGCUUCAGGAUGGACUCGCGUCCAAUUAGCUAGUUGGUGAGGUAACGGCCCACCAAGCCGACGAUCGGUAGCCGACCUGAGAGGGUGAUCGGCCACAUUGGGACUGAGACACGGCCCAAACUCC